UGGGGAAUAUUGGACAAUGGGCGAAAGCCUGAUCCAGCAAUGCCGCGUGAGUGAUGAAGGCCUUAGGGUUGUAAAGCUCUUUUACCAGGGAUGAUAAUGACAGUACCUGGAGAAUAAGCUCCGGCUAACUCCGUGCCAGCAGCCGCGGUAAUACGGAGGGAGCUAGCGUUGUUCGGAAUUACUGGGCGUAAAGCGUGCGCAGGCGGUUUUGUAAGACAGAUGUGAAAUCCCCGGGCUUAACCUGGGAACUGCGUUUGUGACUGCAAGGCUGGAGUACGGCAGAGGGUGGUGGAAUUCCACGUGUAGCAGUGAAAUGCGUAGAGAUGUGGAGGAACACCGAUGGCGAAGGCAGCCCCCUGGGCCUGUACUGACGCUCAUGCACGAAAGCGUGGGGAGCAAACA
This 402-nucleotide ribosomal RNA is filed under the name uncultured bacterium. Its description in RNAcentral is "bacterial SSU rRNA". It matches the Rfam family "Bacterial small subunit ribosomal RNA", at positions 355 to 774 of the family's 1533-position model. The record is from RNAcentral.